Molecule: ribosomal RNA, 256 nt
Filed under: uncultured bacterium
Lineage: Bacteria
Description: partial 16S ribosomal RNA
Rfam family: Bacterial small subunit ribosomal RNA
Source: RNAcentral
UACGUAGGGUGCAAGCGUUGUCCGGAAUUAUUGGGCGUAAAGAGCUCGUAGGCGGUCUGUCGCGUCUGCUGUGAAAACUCAGGGCUUAACCCUGAGCUUGCAGUGGGUACGGGCAGACUAGAGUGGCGGUAGGGGAGACUGGAAUUCCUGGUGUAGCGGUGAAAUGCGCAGAUAUCAGGAGGAACACCGGUGGGCGAAGGCGGGUCUCUGGGCCGUAACUGACGCUGGAGGAGCGGAAAGCAUGGGGAGCGAACAG